This 496-nucleotide ribosomal RNA is filed under the name uncultured bacterium. Its description in RNAcentral is "partial 16S ribosomal RNA". It matches the Rfam family "Bacterial small subunit ribosomal RNA", at positions 28 to 506 of the family's 1533-position model. The record is from RNAcentral.
GAUGAACGCUGGCGGCGUGCCUAAUACAUGCAAGUCGAGCGAACAGAUGAGGAGCUUGCUCCUCUGACGUUAGCGGCGGACGGGUGAGUAACACGUGGAUAACCUACCUAUAAGACUGGGAUAACUUCGGGAAACCGGAGCUAAUACCGGAUAAUAUAUUGAACCGCAUGGUUCAAUAGUGAAAGACGGUUUUGCUGUCACUUAUAGAUGGAUCCGCGCCGCAUUAGCUAGUUGGUAAGGUAACGGCUUACCAAGGCAACGAUGCGUAGCCGACCUGAGAGGGUGAUCGGCCACACUGGAACUGAGACACGGUCCAGACUCCUACGGGAGGCAGCAGUAGGGAAUCUUCCGCAAUGGGCGAAAGCCUGACGGAGCAACGCCGCGUGAGUGAUGAAGGUCUUCGGAUCGUAAAACUCUGUUAUGAGGGAAGAACAAAUGUGUAAGUAACUAUGCACGUCUUGACGGUACCGAAUCAGAAAGCCACGGCUAACUACGU